Molecule: long non-coding RNA, 457 nt
Filed under: Ananas comosus (pineapple)
Lineage: Eukaryota; Viridiplantae; Streptophyta; Magnoliopsida; Poales; Bromeliaceae
Description: long non-coding RNA (ACOM_LNC005089)
Source: RNAcentral
UAAGAUUGUAAGAUUACUAUAUUUCAAUGAAGAAGAAAAAAUGUUUUUUUAUUUGAAAGGUAAUUAGGUAGGUUACUUUGUUUCUUGUUUAAAAUUAGGGUAAACUUCAAAUACCACCCCUGUGAUUUCGUACUUUCUCACUUUAGUGCCAUGUGAUUUAAAGUAUAUCAAGUUAGUGUCCUGUGGUUUCAUUUUUAUCUUUUCGUCAGUUUUUCCGUUAAUAUUUCGUUAAAUUAUAUACAAAAAACUUCAUAUACCCCACCUAGGUUUAUCGAAUAUUCACUUUAAUUUAGUGCCCUUUAGUUUUAACUUUGUCACUGAUUUAACGAAAAAAAUUAAUGAAAUCGAUAAUAAAAAGAUAAAAAUGAAACCACAAGACAUUAAAUUGAUACACUUUAAACCAUAGGGUACUAAAGUGAGAAAGUGUAUAACCACGGGGGUGGUAUUUGAAGUUUUC